CAGAACGAACGCUGGCGGCAGGCCUAAAACAUGCAAGUUGAACGGCUGUAGCAAUACAGCAGUAGCGCAAGGGUGAGUAAUGUAUGGGAACGUAUCUUUUGGUGGGGAAUAUUCUUUGGAAACGAAGAGCAAUACCGCAUAAGCCCUACGGGGGAAAGAUUUAUCGCCGAUUGAGCGGCCCAUAUUGGAUUAGCUAGUUGGUUAGGUAACGGCUGACCAAGGCUGUGAUCCAUAGCUGGUCUGAGAGGACGAUCAGCCACACUGGGACUGAGACACGGCCCAGACUCCUACGGGAGGCAGCAGUUAGGAAUAUUGGACAAUGGGGGCAACCCUGAUCCCAGCCAUGCCGCGUGAGUGUUAAGGCCUUCGGGUUGUAAAGCUCUUUUGUAUGGGAAAAUGAUGAUGGUACCAUAAGAAUAAGCACCGGCUAACUUCGUGCCAGCAGCCGC
Molecule: ribosomal RNA, 449 nt
Filed under: uncultured bacterium
Lineage: Bacteria
Description: bacterial SSU rRNA
Rfam family: Bacterial small subunit ribosomal RNA
Source: RNAcentral